Molecule: ribosomal RNA, 490 nt
Filed under: uncultured bacterium
Lineage: Bacteria
Description: partial 16S ribosomal RNA
Rfam family: Bacterial small subunit ribosomal RNA
Source: RNAcentral
AUUGAACGCUGGCGGCAGGCCUAACACAUGCAAGUCGAACGGUAACAGGAAGCAGCUUGCUGCUUCGCUGACGGGUGGCGGACGGGUGAGUAAUGUCUGGGAAGCUGCCUGAUGGAGGGGGAUAACUACUGGAAACGGUAGCUAAUACCGCAUAAUGUCGCAAGACCAAAGAGGGGGACCUUCGGGCCUCUUGCCAUCGGAUGUGCCCAGAUGGGAUUAGCUUGUUGGUGGGGUAACGGCUCACCAAGGCGACGAUCCCUAGCUGGUCUGAGAGGAUGACCAGCCACACUGGAACUGAGACACGGUCCAGACUCCUACGGGAGGCAGCAGUGGGGAAUAUUGCACAAUGGGCGCAAGCCUGAUGCAGCCAUGCCGCGUGUAUGAAGAAGGCCUUCGGGUUGUAAAGUACUUUCAGCGGGGAGGAAGGGAGUAAAGUUAAUACCUUUGCUCAUUGACGUUACCCGCAGAAGAAGCACCGGCUAACUCCGUG